This 810-nucleotide ribosomal RNA is filed under the name uncultured bacterium. RNAcentral describes it as "bacterial SSU rRNA". It matches the Rfam family "Bacterial small subunit ribosomal RNA", at positions 77 to 902 of the family's 1533-position model. The record is from RNAcentral.
CCUUCGGGGUACUCGAGUGGCGAACGGGUGAGUAACACGUGGGUGAUCUGCCCUGCACUUUGGGAUAAGCCUGGGAAACUGGGUCUAAUACCGAAUAGGACCACGCGCUUCAUGGUNNNNGGUGGAAAGCUUUUGCGGUGUGGGAUGGGCCCGCGGCCUAUCAGCUUGUUGGUGGGGUAAUGGCCUACCAAGGCGACGACGGGUAGCCGGCCUGAGAGGGUGACCGGCCACACUGGGACUGAGAUACGGCCCAGACUCCUACGGGAGGCAGCAGUGGGGAAUAUUGCACAAUGGGCGCAAGCCUGAUGCAGCGACGCCGCGUGAGGGAUGACGGCCUUCGGGUUGUAAACCUCUUUCAAUAGGGACGAAGCGCAAGUGACGGUACCUAUAGAAGAAGCACCGGCCAACUACGUGCCAGCAGCCGCGGUAAUACGUAGGGUGCGAGCGUUGUCCGGAAUUACUGGGCGUAAAGAGCUCGUAGGUGGUUUGUCGCGUUGUUCGUGAAAACUCACAGCUUAACUGUGGGCGUGCGGGCGAUACGGGCAGACUAGAGUACUGCAGGGGAGACUGGAAUUCCUGGUGUAGCGGUGGAAUGCGCAGAUAUCAGGAGGAACACCGGUGGCGAAGGCGGGUCUCUGGGCAGUAACUGACGCUGAGGAGCGAAAGCGUGGGGAGCGAACAGGAUUAGAUACCCUGGUAGUCCACGCCGUANACGGUGGGUACUAGGUGUGGGUUCCUUCCUUGGGAUCCGUGCCGUAGCUAACGCAUUAAGUACCCCGCCUGGGGAGUACGGCCGCAAGGCUAAAACUC